AUUGAACGCUGGCGGCAGGCCUAACACAUGCAAGUCGAGCGAGCAGCUGCAGGGUGUGGAAUGUAUGGGGAUCCGCCCGUUAGUGAGGGAUACCUACUGGAAACGUUAGCUAUUACCGCACACUAUCUCAUUGACCCAUACGGGAUUAGCUAGUUGGUGAGGUAAUGGCUCACCUAGUCGACGAUGCCUAGCGGGUCUGAGAGGAUGAUCAGCCACACUGGGACUGAGACACGGCCCAGACUCCUACGGGAGGCAGCAGUGGGGAAUAUUGCACAAUGGGCGAAAGCCUGAUGCAGCAAUGCCGCGUGUAUGAAGAAGGCCCUAGGGUUGUAAAGUACUUUCAGUCGGGAGGCGGUACCGACAGAAGAAGCAACGGCUAACUCCGUGCCAGCAGCCGCGGUAAUUC
This 406-nucleotide ribosomal RNA is filed under the name uncultured bacterium. RNAcentral describes it as "partial 16S ribosomal RNA". It matches the Rfam family "Bacterial small subunit ribosomal RNA", at positions 30 to 526 of the family's 1533-position model. The record is from RNAcentral.